AGAGUUUGAUCCUGGCUCAGAACGAACGCUGGCGGCGUGCCUAAUACAUGCAGGUCGAACGAGAAAGUCCGGCUUCGGUUGGACAAGUAAAGUGGCGAACGGGUGAGUAACACGUGGGCAAUUUUCCCUUGAAUCUGGGAUAACCCUUCGAAAGGAGGCCUAAUACCAGAUGACACUGUCGAAUGGCAUCUUUUGACAGUCAAAGGCGGAGCAAUCUGUCGUUCAGGGAUGAGCCCGCGGCCCAUUAGCUAGUUGGCGGGGUAAUGGCCCACCAAGGCAACGAUGGGUAGCCGACCUGAGAGGGUGACCGGCCACACUGGGACUGAGAUACGGCCCAGACUCCUACGGGAGGCAGCAGUAGGGAAUAUUGCGCAAUGGACGAAAGUCUGACGCAGCAACGCCGCGUGGGUGAUGAAGCAUUUUGGUGUGUAAAACCCUGUCAGUGGGGAAGAAACGUACCGGUAGUAACUGACCGGUGCCUGACGUACCCGCAGAGA
Molecule: ribosomal RNA, 497 nt
Filed under: uncultured Bacillaceae bacterium
Lineage: Bacteria; Bacillati; Bacillota; Bacilli; Caryophanales; Bacillaceae
Description: bacterial SSU rRNA
Rfam family: Bacterial small subunit ribosomal RNA
Source: RNAcentral